RNAcentral lists this unclassified non-coding RNA (259 nucleotides) under Hevea brasiliensis (rubber tree). Lineage: Eukaryota; Viridiplantae; Streptophyta; Magnoliopsida; Malpighiales; Euphorbiaceae. The record is from RNAcentral.
GCAAGAGGCGGUGGAGGGGAUGGGAUGGCAAUUGGGGGUGGAGAGAAUGACUGGGAAGAAGAUGGGUUGGAUUGUUUUUGGAGAUCAGAGAAGGAUAAGGAAGAGAAACGAGUGUCAUUUGUGUACAAAAGGAAAGUGGUGCAGAUGAGCAAGACAAAGAAAGCGAAAAUGAAAAAGAACUUCUUUUCUUUGAUCAGAUUCUGAACAGAUAACGCCAUUUUUGCUUUCUGUGUGUGAAAUCUUGGAAGAAAGAAUUUAC